AGAAAAAUGCUAGCCUGAGACUUCCGGGGACAAGUCUCAGGAUCCACAAGGGCUUACGGAAGUGGCAGGCAAGGCUUAGAGAUCAAGAGGAGUGUCAGGCUGCUGACGUUCCCUUCAAGGGGCCACAGGAGGAGUCCUUGGCUUGGCCUUGCCAGUGUGGGUGAGGGGGGUCCAACGCCACAAGCCAGAGGAGAAGAGAUUUAAUACUGAAGUUUCCAUCAGUGUCACCAAGAGAGCUGAUGGGGAGGCUUUCCAGGAGCAAUAAAAGAGGCAGAGAUGGGCCGGUGAGUCACCAUGUCCUCUGGCCAGGCCGUCAAGUAGCUGACCAGCUCAGAGGAGAGUGAGGCAGCGAACCCCGCUAGGACGCACCUCCCUGCUCCCCCGGACACGCGGCAGCUGUGGCUCAGCCAGCUCAAAGCCUCCAGCCCGUCCGUCCCGGUUUCAUCCGCGGGGUGGGGUGGACCGGCCCUCCCCUUCCCCAUACGCCCACAGCGAGCAUCGCACUGUGACGCUACCAACGCGGACACUGAACCAGAUGUUGCUUUUCAUGAGAGUAACGAUGGAAAACAGACGAUUGGAGAGAGAGGAGAAAGCGCCUCCACUUGAGCAACUCGUCUGUUGAAACUAAAUCUGCUUCAUAUAAAAUACCUGAGUAUUUGAGAGAAGACGAGAAGGAUUCGCAGCAACUGCACUGCGUCCACAGAGGAUUUCCUUUUCCAUUUCAGUUUAGGUGUUUGAUCAGGUGCUGCUGAUCCAGGAGAGCGAGGCCCGAGGCCCCCUCCCUGGCAUUUCAUGCACGCCCAGCUCUGGAGGCUGCAGGGAGGUUCAAAGAGUAAA
Long non-coding RNA from Cervus elaphus (red deer), 837 nucleotides. RefSeq lists it as uncharacterized. The record is from RefSeq and is a predicted model, not a curated record. NCBI's taxonomy places the organism in Eukaryota, Metazoa, Chordata, Mammalia, Artiodactyla, Cervidae. The transcript has 3 exons.